GUAAAAGCUGAGGAGCUUCUUUUCCUUCCUCCUUUUGAAAGAAUUCCCUGAUCCUCUCUUGGCACCCAAAUAUUGUUUAUUUUCUUUCAUCUGCCAUUCCACCCUACAAAUUCCUUCACAGAUUUACGUUUUAGAAGAGGUGAUUUAAGAUUUGACACUUCUGCUUUUUUAGAAGAGGUGAUUUAAGAUUUGACACUUCUGCUUUAUUCAGCCAAAGGAACCCAAGCGCAGGUGUUCUCAGAGUCAAGAGUGACACUGGAAUUAGUCUGGAGAUGCUGAGCACAGCAGUGUGAGGAGGACUGCACACACCUUGUGAUCAGUGCUUCCUGUCAAACACUUGCAGCACAUUUUGGAGUUGAUAGCAGUGGUUUGCCUUGUGUGCUUUUCUUGAUGGAGGACUGUGGUUUCUAUCCACAGAAGAUCAGCACUCCCACCCAACCUGCUGCUGCCUGCAAACUGACUGAGGGUGCACUGCAUCCCCUCAUCCAGGUAGUGGACAAAGUUAUUAAACAGGAUUGGCCCCUGAACUGAGCCUUGGGGAACAUCACUAGUGGCCAGUUGGCAGCUGGAUGUGACUGCAUUUACAGCACCCUGGGCCUGGCCAUCCAGGCAGUUUUUACCAUCCAUAGUGCCAUGAAAGAAGCACAACAUCAAAGUUGUGCACACAAUUAAAUGCUCAAUGUGAAAUAUUGCCAAUUUCUAUUUACAAACAAGGAACCCACCAAAGUCAAAAUAUACAAAGCUUCCAAUAUGGAAAACCCUUGAAGCUUGCUGGUAUUGUCUGAAGCAGAAGAUGGUUGAAAAAGCAUUCCUGACUCUGUUUCUCCAGGAGAUACAUUGCCACACAGAAAUGAUGCAGAGGAGUUACUCAAAAGCCUGUAAAAUUAACAACAUAGCCAUGGGCAGUGGACUGAAAAUGCUAAUUAAUGUCUCAUCGUGGACUGUGGGAUGAGGCAAGAUUCAUUAUGUCCUGCCUCUGCCACUUAGUUCAGUUCUGAAGAUUUUGUAUUUUAAUGUAACUGGACCGGCAUUUCUGACUGAAUUUACUUAAAUAGUC
This 1057-nucleotide long non-coding RNA is filed under the name Cyanistes caeruleus (blue tit). RNAcentral's name for it is "lncRNA (ENSCCEG00000002767.1)". The record is from RNAcentral. Lineage: Eukaryota; Metazoa; Chordata; Aves; Passeriformes; Paridae.